CACUUCUAAGGAAGGCAGCAGGCGCGCAAAUUACCCAAUCCUGACUCAGGGAGGUAGUGACAAGAAAUAACAAUAAACCGGCUUAUGCCGGUUUAAUUGGAAUGAGUACAAUUUAAACAUCUUAACGAGGAACAAUUGGAGGGCAAGUCUGGUGCCAGCAGCCGCGGUAAUUCCAGCUCCAAUAGCGUAUACUAAAGUUGUUGCAGUUAAAAAGCUCGUAGUUGGAUUUCUGUGGGGACGGAGCGGCCGGCCGCAACACGCGGUUCGAGCUAGCGCUUUCCCUACAUCCUGCCGCGAACCGUGCUACCAUUAGUUUGGUGGCGCCGGGGAUCGGCUCGAUUACUUUGAGAAAAAUAGAGUGUUCAAAGCAGGCCACACGCCUUGAAUAAGUUAGCAUGGAAUAAUAACUAAGGGCUUCGGUUCUAUUUUGUUGGUGUUCGGGACUGAAGUAAUGAUUGAUAGGGACAGUUGGGGCGGUCUGUAUUCCAAAGCGAGAGGUGAAAUUCUUAGACCUUCGGAAGACAAACAGCUGCGAAAGCGUUCCGCAAGGAUGUUCCCUUUGAUCAAGAACGAAAGUUGGGGGAUCGAAGACGAUCAGAUACCGUCGUAGUCUCAACUAUAAACUAUACCAGCUAGGGAUCGGCCAACGUUAUUCUAUACCGACUUGGUCGGCACCUUAUGAGAAAUCAAAGCAUCUGGGUUCCGGGGGGAGUAUGGUCGCAAGGCUGAAACUUAAAGGAAUUGACGGAAGGGCACCACCAGCCGUGGAGCCUGUGGCUUAAUUUGACUCAACACGGGAAAACUUACCAGGUCCAGACAUAGUAAGGAUUGACAGAUUGAUAGCUCUUUCUUGAUUCUGUGGGUGGUGGUGCAUGGCCGUUCUUAGUUGGUGGAGUGAUUUGUCUGGUUAAUUCCGUUAACGAACGAGACCCCAGCCUGCUAAAUAGCGCGCGUGAGCUUUGCUCGCGGCGAGCUUCUUAGAGGGACUCUGAUGCGCGAUAGCACAUGGAAGUUUGGGGCAAUAACAGGUCUGUGAUGCCCUUAGAUGUUCUGGGCCGCACACGGGCUACACUGGCGCCUGCAACGAGCAUAUCAGCUGGCCCGAGAGGGUCUUGGCUAAUCUUUUGAACCGGCGCCGUGCUUGGGAUUGACCUUUGCAAUUGUUGGUCAUGCAACGAGGAAUGCCUUGUAAACGCGAGUCAUCAGCUCGCAUUGAAUACGUCCCUGCCCUUUGUACACACCGCCCGUCGCUCCUACCGAUGAAUGUUCCGAUGAAAUUUUCGGAGAGCACCUGUGAACUUGGCUCUGCCUUGCGAACGGGAGGCUCAAAGUCACUUAAAUCUGAACAUUUCGAGG
RNAcentral lists this ribosomal RNA (1356 nucleotides) under uncultured marine eukaryote. Its description in RNAcentral is "SSU rRNA". It matches the Rfam family "Eukaryotic small subunit ribosomal RNA", at positions 411 to 1779 of the family's 1831-position model. The record is from RNAcentral.